Molecule: ribosomal RNA, 460 nt
Filed under: uncultured bacterium
Lineage: Bacteria
Description: partial 16S ribosomal RNA
Rfam family: Bacterial small subunit ribosomal RNA
Source: RNAcentral
CCUACGGGAGGCAGCAGUGAGGAAUAUUGGUCAAUGGACGAGAGUCUGAACCAGCCAAGUAGCGUGAAGGAUGACUGCCCUAUGGGUUGUAAACUUCUUUUAUAUGGGAAUAAAAUGUUCCACGUGUGGGAUUUUGUAUGUACCAUAUGAAUAAGGAUCGGCUAACUCCGUGCCAGCAGCCGCGGUAAUACGGAGGCUCCGAGCGUUAUCCGGAUUUAUUGGGUUUAAAGGGUGCGUAGGUGGAUGGUUAAGUCAGUUGUGAAAGUGUGCGGCUCAACCGUAAAAUUGCAGUUGAAACUGGCAGUCUUGAGUACAGUAGAGGUGGGCGGAAUUCGUGGUGUAGCGGUGAAAUGCUUAGAUAGCACGAAGAACUCCGAUUGCGAAGGCAGUUCACUGGACUGAAACUGACACUGAGGCUCGAAAGUGUGGGUAUCAAACAGGAUUAGAUACCCGGGUAGUC